RNAcentral lists this ribosomal RNA (377 nucleotides) under uncultured eukaryote. RNAcentral describes it as "partial 18S ribosomal RNA". It matches the Rfam family "Eukaryotic small subunit ribosomal RNA", at positions 592 to 976 of the family's 1831-position model. The record is from RNAcentral.
CAAUAGCGUAUAUUUAAGUUGCUGCAGUUAAAAAGCUCGUAGUUGGAUUUCGGGUGGGAAUGGCCGGUCCGCCGUUUCGGUGUGCACUUGCUACGCCCACCUUGCUGCCGGGGACGUGCUCUUGAGUUCACGCUCGGGACACGGAGUCGGCGAGGUUACUUUGAGUAAAUUAGAGUGUUCAAAGCAGGCCUACGCUCUGAAUACAUUAGCAUGGAAUAACACGAUAGGACUCUGGCCUAUCUUGUUGGUCUGUAGGACCGGAGUAAUGAUUAAGAGGGACAGUCGGGAGCAUUCGUAUUUCAUUGUCAGAGGUGAAAUUCUUGGAUUUAUGAAAGACGAACUACUGCGAAAGCAUUUGCCAAGGAUGUUUUCAUUAA